GACGAACGCUGGCGGCGUGCUUAACACAUGCAAGUCGAACGGAAAGGCCCCCACCUUGGUGGGGGUGCUCGAGUGGCGAGCGGGUGAGUAACACGUGGGUGAUCUGCCCUGUACUUCGGGAUAAGCUUGGGAAACUGGGUCUAAUACCGGAUAGGACCAUGGUUUAGUGUCUCAUGGUGGAAAAAUUAUUGUUUUGGUGCAGGAUGAGCUCGCGGCCUAUCAGCUUGUUGGUGGGGUAAUGGCCUACCAAGGCGUCGACGGGUAGCCGGCCUGAGAGGGUGGACGGCCACAUUGGGACUGAGAUACGGCCCAGACUCCUACGGGAGGCAGCAGUGGGGAAUAUUGCACAAUGGGCGCAAGCCUGAUGCAGCGACGCCGCGUGGGGGAUGACGGCCUUCGGGUUGUAAACUCCUUUCGUUAGGGACGAAGCCA
Molecule: ribosomal RNA, 432 nt
Filed under: Corynebacterium matruchotii
Lineage: Bacteria; Bacillati; Actinomycetota; Actinomycetes; Mycobacteriales; Corynebacteriaceae
Description: bacterial SSU rRNA
Rfam family: Bacterial small subunit ribosomal RNA
Source: RNAcentral